GAUAAACGCUGGCGGCGCACAUAAGACAUGCAAGUCGAACGGAAGUCGUUGUAAUGAUAUAGACAUGGACUGAGAACUUGUUCAAAGAAAGUGAAAGUUGACUUACAACAAUGGCUUUAGUGGCGGACUGGUGAGUAACACGUAAGCAACCUGCCUAUCAGAGGGGAACAACAGUUAGAAAUGACUGCUAAUACCGCAUAUGCCUAAGUACCACAUGGUACAAUAGGGAAAGGAGCAAUCUGCUGAUAGAUGGGCUUGCGUCUGAUUAGAUAGUUGGUGGGGUAAUGGCCUACCAAGUCAACGAUCAGUAGCCGGACUGAGAGGUUGAACGGCCACAUUGGGACUGAGAUACGGCCCAGACUCCUACGGAGGCAGCAGUCGGGAAUAUUGCGCAAUGGAGGAAACUCUGACGCAGUGACGCCGCGUGCAGGAAGAAGGUCUUCGGAUU
This 448-nucleotide ribosomal RNA is filed under the name uncultured bacterium. Its description in RNAcentral is "bacterial SSU rRNA". It matches the Rfam family "Bacterial small subunit ribosomal RNA", at positions 28 to 424 of the family's 1533-position model. The record is from RNAcentral.